CAUUACAUGAUAUCACGGGGGGCCGGAACCACGAAAGUGCGACCUGCCCUGUCUGAAUAUUAUACCCAUGAUUUUGCGUACCAUUUGUUUCCUUGGUGAGCUUGCUCACCAAUAGGACACUAUACAACCUUUUGUAAUUGCAGUCAGCGUCAGAAAACUAUAAUAAUUACAACUUUCAACAACGGAUCUCUUGGUUCUGGCAUCGAUGAAGAACGCAGCGAAAUGCGAUAAGUAGUGUGAAUUGCAGAAUUCAGUGAAUCAUCGAAUCUUUGAACGCACAUUGCGCCCCUUGGUAUUCCAUGGGGCAUGCCUGUUCGAGCGUCAUUUGUACCCUCAAGCUCUGCUUGGUGUUGGGUGUUUGUCCCGCUUUGCGUGGGGACUCGCCUUAAAGCAAUUGGCAGCCGGCAUAUUGUCUCGGAGCGCAGCACAUUUUGCGCUUCUUGCAUUCAUGUUGGUAUCCAGUAAGCCUUUACAUUUGCUCUUGACCUCGGAUCAGGUAGGGAUACCC
Molecule: ribosomal RNA, 508 nt
Filed under: uncultured Ascomycota
Lineage: Eukaryota; Fungi; Ascomycota
Description: eukaryotic LSU rRNA
Rfam family: 5.8S ribosomal RNA (bases 171-324)
Source: RNAcentral